This 331-nucleotide ribosomal RNA is filed under the name uncultured bacterium. RNAcentral's name for it is "bacterial SSU rRNA". It matches the Rfam family "Bacterial small subunit ribosomal RNA", at positions 29 to 387 of the family's 1533-position model. The record is from RNAcentral.
AACGAACGCUGGCGGCAUGCCUAACACAUGCAAGUCGAACGAAGUCUUCGGACUUAGUGGCGCACGGGUGCGUAACGCGUGGGAAUCUGCCCUUGGGUGCGGAAUAACUUCUCGAAAGGGAUGCUAAUACCGCAUAAUGUCGUAAGACCAAAAGAUUUAUCGCCCAAAGGAUGAGCCCGCGUAAGAUUAGCUAGUUGGUGGGUAAAAGCCUACAAGGCGACGAUCUUUAGCUGGUCUGAGAGGAUGAUCAGCCACACUGGGACUGAGACACGGCCCAGACUCCUACGGGAGGCAACAGUGGGGAAUAUUGGACAAUGGGCGAAAGCCUGAU